This 253-nucleotide ribosomal RNA is filed under the name uncultured bacterium. RNAcentral describes it as "partial 16S ribosomal RNA". It matches the Rfam family "Bacterial small subunit ribosomal RNA", at positions 524 to 776 of the family's 1533-position model. The record is from RNAcentral.
UACGUAGGGUGCAAGCGUUGUCCGGAAUUACUGGGUUUAAAGGGUACGUAGGUGGAUAGAUAAGUCUGGAGUGAAAGUUUUAGGCUCAACCUAAAAAGUGCUUUGGAUACUGUUUAUCUAGAGUUAGAGAGAGGUAGCUGGAAUUUGUGGUGUAGCGGUGAAAUGCAUAGAUACCACGAGGAACACCAAUUGCGAAGGCAGGCUACUGGCUCUAUACUGACACUGAUGUACGAAAGUGUGGUUAGCGAACAGG